GUAUUACACAUCCCCAGACACAUUCUCAGAAGGUGUAUUUGUGUGACAAACGGGUACUUGUAGUCACGAGGACGGCACAAGUAACGGGGAGAGCACACCCAGUGCGAGGUUUGCCACGUGUCACCACUCCGCUUCUCGAACCAUGCUCGCUGCGCUCACAGGCCGAAUUGGAGACAGAACACGAUUGCGUCCACCGCGGCGUGUUGUGCUUGUGCACUACCAGUGGUGGACUACAGUGGUGUAGAGGAAGAAGAGUUAUUUUUGGGGGGAGGCAAAUAUUUAAAGUCGUCUUGAUUCUGUUGUUAGAAUCUAUCAGUUACUUAAAACUAUGGUAUACUACUUAGACUUUAGUUGGAAGAAUAGUGGUGACACGAAAUCCACACAACUCUCGACAUUGUAUAGAAAGGUAACGGAUUUUAUUACAU
This 425-nucleotide unclassified non-coding RNA is filed under the name Yarrowia lipolytica. Lineage: Eukaryota; Fungi; Ascomycota; Dipodascomycetes; Dipodascales. The record is from RNAcentral.